UGAAACCUGAUAUGACUUAGUGGCGGACGGGUGAGUAACACGUGAGCAACCUGCCUACAAGAGGGGGACAACAGUUGGAAACGACUGCUAAUACCGCAUGAAGCAUAGGGGUCGCAUGAUUCUUAUGCCAAAGAUUUAUCGCUUCAAGAUGGCCUCGCGUCUGAUUAGCUGGUUGGCGGGGUAACGGCCCACCAAGGCGACGAUCAGUAGCCGGACUGAGAGGUUGAACGGCCACAUUGGGACUGAGAUACGGCCCAGACUCC
Molecule: ribosomal RNA, 263 nt
Filed under: uncultured Oscillibacter sp.
Lineage: Bacteria; Bacillati; Bacillota; Clostridia; Eubacteriales; Oscillospiraceae
Description: partial 16S ribosomal RNA
Rfam family: Bacterial small subunit ribosomal RNA
Source: RNAcentral